GGAAGGUCCCUAAACCGAAAGGGGCUCUGCCCGCCCGAGGAUGGGCCGGCGGCCGAUUAGGUAGUUGGUGGGGUAACGGCCCACCAAGCCCAUAAUCGGUACGGGCAGUGAGAGCUGGAGCCCGGAGAUGGACACUGAGACACGGGUCCAGGCCCUACGGGGCGCAGCAGGCGCGAAACCUCCGCAAUGCUCGAAAGAGCGACGGGGGGACCCCAAGUGCCGUGGUACAACCACGGCUUUUCCGGAGUGUAAGAAGCUCCGGGAAUAAGGGCUGGGCAAGGCCGGUGGCAGCCGCCGCGGUAAUACCGGCGGCCCGAGUGGUGGCCACUAUUAUUGGGCCUAAAGCGUCCGUAGCCGGGCUUGUAAGUCCCUGGCGAAAUCCCACGGCUCAACCGUGGGGCUUGCUGGGGAUACUGCAAGCCUUGGGACCGGGAGAGGCCGGGGGUACUCCUGGGGUAGGGGUGAAAUCCUAUAAUCCCAGGAGGACCGCCAGUGGCGAAGGCGCCCGGCUGGAACGGGUCCGACGGUGAGGGACGAAGGCCAGGGGAGCAAACCGGAUUAGAUACCCGGGUAGUCCUGGCUGUAAAGGAUGCGGGCUAGGUGUUGCUUGGACCUCGAGUCCAAGCAGUGCCGCAGGGAAGCCGUUAAGCCCG
Molecule: ribosomal RNA, 653 nt
Filed under: uncultured archaeon
Lineage: Archaea
Description: bacterial SSU rRNA
Rfam family: Archaeal small subunit ribosomal RNA
Source: RNAcentral